This 22-nucleotide microRNA is filed under the name Schmidtea mediterranea. Its description in RNAcentral is "Sme-Mir-2159_3p* (star (passenger))". Lineage: Eukaryota; Metazoa; Platyhelminthes; Tricladida; Dugesiidae. The record is from RNAcentral.
GAGCUGCCAAAUAAAGGGUGAU